This 492-nucleotide ribosomal RNA is filed under the name uncultured bacterium. RNAcentral's name for it is "partial 16S ribosomal RNA". It matches the Rfam family "Bacterial small subunit ribosomal RNA", at positions 29 to 507 of the family's 1533-position model. The record is from RNAcentral.
AGUGAACGCUGGCGGUAGGCCUAACACAUGCAAGUCGAACGGCAGCACAGUAAGAGCUUGCUCUUACGGGUGGCGAGUGGCGAACGGGUGAGGAAUACAUCGGAAUCUACUUUUUCGUGGGGGAUAACGUAGGGAAACUUACGCUAAUACCGCAUACGACCUACGGGUGAAAGCAGGGGAUCUUCGGACCUUGCGCGAUUGAAUGAGCCGAUGUCGGAUUAGCUAGUUGGCGGGGUAAAGGCCCACCAAGGCGACGAUCCGUAGCUGGUCUGAGAGGAUGAUCAGCCACACUGGAACUGAGACACGGUCCAGACUCCUACGGGAGGCAGCAGUGGGGAAUAUUGGACAAUGGGCGCAAGCCUGAUCCAGCCAUACCGCGUGGGUGAAGAAGGCCUUCGGGUUGUAAAGCCCUUUUGUUGGGAAAGAAAAGCAGCGGGUUAAUACCCCGCUGUUCUGACGGUACCCAAAGAAUAAGCACCGGCUAACUUCGUG